GACGAACGCUGGCGGCGUGCUUAACACAUGCAAGUCGUACGGUAAGGCCCUUUCGGGGGUACACGAGUGGCGAACGGUUGAGUAACACGUGAGUAACCUGCCCACAACUUUGUUAUAACGCGGGGAAACUGGGGCUAAUACUGGAUAUGUGCUCCUCCUGCAUGGGGGGGGUUGGAAAGCUCCGGCGGGUGUGGAUGGAUUCGCGGCCUAUCAGCUGGUUGGUGGGGUAGUGGGCUACCAAGGCGGCAACGGGUAGCGGGACUGAGAGGGUGACCGGCCACACUGGGACCGAGAGAAGGCACAGACGCCGAAGGGAGGAAGAAGGGGGGAAUACUGAUCAAUGGGCGCAAGCCUGAUGAAGAAACGCCGCGGGUGGGAUGACCGUCUUGGGGUUGAAAAAAGCCUUCAGCAGGGAAGACGCUUUUUGUGACGGUACCUGAAGAAGAAGCACCGGCUAACUACGUG
This 465-nucleotide ribosomal RNA is filed under the name uncultured bacterium. Its description in RNAcentral is "partial 16S ribosomal RNA". It matches the Rfam family "Bacterial small subunit ribosomal RNA", at positions 28 to 507 of the family's 1533-position model. The record is from RNAcentral.